CUUGGCUAAUGUGUCUCGGCUAAGGUGUCUGGGCUAAGGUGUCUUGGCUAAGGUGUCUUGGCUAAGGUGUCUUGGCUAAGGUGUCUUGGCUAAUGUGUCUCGGCUAAGGUGUCUUGGCUAAUGUGUCUCGGCGAAGGUGUCUUGGCUAAUGUGUCUUGGCUAAGGUGUCUUGGCUAAGGUGUCUUGGCUAAUGUGUCUCGGCUAAGGUGUCUUGGCUAAUGUGUCUUGGCUAAGGUGUCUUGGCUAAGGUGUCUUGGCUAAGGUGUCUUGGCUAAGGUGUCUUGGCUAAGGUGUCUUGGCUAAGGUGUCUUGGCUAAGGUGUCUUGGCUAAGGUGUAUUGGCUAAUGUGUCUUGGCUAAUGUGUUUUGGCUAAGGUGUCUUGGCUAAUGUGUCUCGGCUAAGGUGUCUUGGCUAAGGUGUCUUGGCUAAGGUGUCUUGGCUAAUGUGUCUUGGCUAAGGUGUCUUGGCUAAGGUGUCUUGGCUAAGGUGUCUUGGCUAAGGUGUCUUGGCUAAGGUGUCUUGGCUAAGGUGUCUUGGCUAAGGUGUCUUGGCUAAGGUGUCUUGGCUAAUGUGUCUCGGCUAAUGUGUCUUGGCUAAGGUGUCUUGGCUAAGGUGUCUUGGCUAAGGUGUCUUGGCUAAGGUGUCUUGGCUAAUGUGUCUUGGCUAAUGUGUCUUGGCUAAGGUGUCUUGGCUAAGGUGUCUUGGCUAAUGUGUCUCGGCUAAGGUGUCUUGGCUAAUGUGUCUUGGCUAAGGUGUCUUGGCUAAGGUGUCUUGGCUAAGGUGUCUUGGCUAAGGUGUCUUGGCUAAGGUGUCUUGGCUAAUGUGUCUUGGCUAAGGUGUCUUGGCUCAUGUGUCUCGGCUAAUGUGUCUUGGCUAAGGUGUCUUGGCUAAGGUGUCUUGGCUAAGGUGUCUUGGCUAAGGUGUCUUGGCUAAUGUGUCUUGGCUAAUGUGUCUUGGCUAAGGUGUCUUGGCUAAGGUGUCUUGGCUAAUGUGUCUCGACUAAUGUGUCUUGGCUAAGGUGUCUUGGCUAAGGUGUCUUGGCUAAGGUGUCUUGGCUAAGGUGUCUUGGCUAAGGUGUCCUGGCUAAGGUGUCUUGGCUAAGGUGUCUUGGCUAAUGUGUCUUGGCUAAUGUGUCUUGGCUAAUGUGUCUUGGCUAAGGUGUCUUGGCUAAUGUGUCUCGGCUAAUGUGUCUUGGCUAAUGUGUCUUGGCUAAUGUGUCUCGGCUAAGGUGUCUUGGCUAAAGUGUCUUGGCUAAGGUGUCUUGGCUAAGGUGUCUUGGCUAAGGUGUCUUGGCUAAGGUGUCUUGGCUAAUGUGUCUUGGCUAAGGUGUCUUGGCUAAGGUGUCUUGGCUAAGGUGUCUUGGCUAAUGUGUCUUGGCUAAGGUGUCUUGGCUAAGGUGUCUUGGCUAAGGUGUCUUGGCUAAGGUGUCUUGGCUAAGGUGUCUUGGCUAAGGUGUCUUGGCUAAUGUGUCUCGGCUAAGGUGUCUUGGCUAAGGUGUCUUGGCUAAGGUGUCUUGGCUAAGGUGUCUUGGCUAAUGUGUC
Molecule: long non-coding RNA, 1541 nt
Organism: Anopheles funestus (African malaria mosquito)
Lineage: Eukaryota; Metazoa; Arthropoda; Insecta; Diptera; Culicidae
Exons: 4
Source: RefSeq, a predicted model, not a curated record